Vitis vinifera (wine grape) is the source of this 81-nucleotide transfer RNA. It matches the Rfam family "tRNA". From Rfam's summary of the family: Transfer RNA (tRNA) molecules are approximately 80 nucleotides in length. Their secondary structure includes four short double-helical elements and three loops (D, anti-codon, and T loops). Further hydrogen bonds mediate the characteristic L-shaped molecular structure. tRNAs have two regions of fundamental functional importance: the anti-codon, which is responsible for specific mRNA codon recognition, and the 3' end, to which the tRNAs corresponding amino acid is attached (by aminoacyl-tRNA synthetases). tRNAs cope with the degeneracy of the genetic code in two manners: having more than one tRNA (with a specific anti-codon) for a particular amino acid; and 'wobble' base-pairing, i.e. permitting non-standard base-pairing at the 3rd anti-codon position. The record is from Rfam. NCBI's taxonomy places the organism in Eukaryota, Viridiplantae, Streptophyta, Magnoliopsida, Vitales, Vitaceae.
GCCUUGGUGGUGAAAUGUUAGGCACGCAAGACUUAAAAUCUCGUGCUAAAAAGUGUGGUGGUUCAAGUCCUUUUCAAGGCA